UACGUAGGGUGCAAGCGUUAAUCGGAAUUACUGGGCGUAAAGCGUGCGCAGGCGGUGAUGUAAGACAGAUGUGAAAUCCCCGGGCUCAACCUGGGAACUGCAUUUGUGACUGCAUCGCUGGAGUGCGGCAGAGGGGGAUGGAAUUCCGCGUGUAGCAGUGAAAUGCGUAGAUAUGCGGAGGAACACCGAUGUCGAAGGCAAUCCCCUGGGCCUGCACUGACGCUCAUGCACGAAAGCGUGGGGAGCAAACAGG
RNAcentral lists this ribosomal RNA (253 nucleotides) under uncultured bacterium. RNAcentral's name for it is "partial 16S ribosomal RNA". It matches the Rfam family "Bacterial small subunit ribosomal RNA", at positions 524 to 776 of the family's 1533-position model. The record is from RNAcentral.